Molecule: long non-coding RNA, 1054 nt
Filed under: Numida meleagris (helmeted guineafowl)
Lineage: Eukaryota; Metazoa; Chordata; Aves; Galliformes; Numididae
Description: lncRNA (ENSNMEG00000006400.1)
Source: RNAcentral
GACCCGGAGUGCAGCGCGGUGCUGGCGUGGCCCCACUGCGCUAUGGGUCCCAGCGUGGCCCCACUGCACGAGGGUCUGGGAGGGGCCCGUCCCAUUGAGUCCCCAUUGCGCUAUGGGUCCCAGUGUGUCCCCAUUGUGCUGUGGGGUCCCAUUCUGUCCCCGUGUCCCCGCUGCCCCAUGGCGUCCCGUUGCGUCCCCAUUGAGGCCCCAUUGCGCUCUGGGGUCCCCUCGUGUCCCCACUGCAUUAAGGUCCCUGUAGUGCGCAGGGGGUCCCAUUGUGUCCCCGUUGCUCUGUAGGGUCCUAUUGGCUCCCAUCGUGACCCUAUUGCACUAUGGGGUCCCAUAGCGUCCCCAUCAUGUGUUGGGGCCCCACUGUGUCCCCAUGUCCCUGUUGCACUAUGAGAUCCUAUUGUGUCCCCAUUGCACUAUGGGGUCCUAUAGCAUCCCCAUCACAUGUUGGGGCCCCAUUGUGUCCUCGUGUCCCCAUUGCGCUGUGCCAUCCCAUCACGUCCCAUUGUGGCCCCGUUGCACUUUGGGGUCCCGUAGUGUUUCCAUUACAUCCUGGGGUCCCAUCGUGUCACCAUGCCCCCACUGCGCUCUGGGGUCCCCUCGUGUCCCCAUUGCAUUAAGGUCCCUGUAGUGCACAGCGGGGUCCCAUUGUGUCCCCAUUGCACUAUGGGGUCCCAUAGCGUCCCCAUCAUGUGUUGGGGCCCCAUUGUGUCCCCAUGUCCCCAUUGCACUAUGGGGUCCUGUAGCAUCCCCAUCACAUAUUGGGGUCCCAUUGUGUCCCCAUUGCUCUGUGGGGUCCCAUUGGUUCCCAUUGUGUCCCCAUUGCUCUAUGGGGUCCCAUUGGUUCCCAUUGUGUUCCCAUUGCUCUGUGGGGUCCCAUUGGUUCCCUCUGUGUCCCCAUUGCACUAUGGGGUGCCAUUGUGUCCCCAUUGCACUAUGGGGUCCCAUAGCAUCCCCAUCACGUAUUGGGGUCCCCAUUGCACUGCGGGGUCCCCAUAGCACGGAGGUCCCUAUCCCCAUGGGGGGGGGUCCCCGUGUGCCCCUA